Molecule: long non-coding RNA, 706 nt
Filed under: Fragaria vesca (wild strawberry)
Lineage: Eukaryota; Viridiplantae; Streptophyta; Magnoliopsida; Rosales; Rosaceae
Description: long non-coding RNA (FVES_LNC002907)
Source: RNAcentral
CACUGUUACGGAGGUCCGGGGGAAGCUCGGCGUCCUAGUCUUCCACUUCCCUUUGCGGGUACGUACGUACUUGUAUUGCUUAGUUUGCUUGCACUAGUGCUGGUUAACAAUUUUCUUCAAAUAUUGGAUUAGUCUAAGCAGAGAGUGCAGAAAAUAGAAACAAAAAAGUGUAUUAGAUACAAAUUAAUUAGCAAUUUGGCAAAUAAUUACAGUAUGCAAUCAUUAGGAAAUUUCAGCUCGAGUACUUGCUAAAAGUAUUUGUUAAUGCAUUGCUUAGUUUGCACAUUAAGAUUUUAAGUUUUAAGUUGAUUGAUUAGGGUUAAAGACUUAGAUUUUGGCUGUUGAAACUUGGCAGGCAAGAGUAUCGUGUGAAAUUUUGGUAAACAUGAUGAAUCAAACAAUAUUUCGUCACAAUUGUUAUGAGGUGAGCACACUUGACUUACACGGAUAGAUUUCAUUCGAUGUCAUAGCCGAGGAGAUAAACCAGCCUUCUGCAAUAAUAUUUUGAUUUUCUCUUGCUUUGCCAGUGAGGAAUUCGGGCACCUGCGCAUUAUUGCUUCAAUAUAUAGAAGAGGUUAUUAUGUGUACCAUGUAAUAUUUACACUCACUAGGGUAAAUGAGCUAGCUUUUCUUGUUAGGUAUGUAUACGGUAAAAGAGCUCUGCUGUGGAGAUGUGAAGUUUGAAAAAUGCACACAGUACUGCAUG